Molecule: transfer RNA, 286 nt
Filed under: Nostoc sp. BTA197
Lineage: Bacteria; Bacillati; Cyanobacteriota; Cyanophyceae; Nostocales; Nostocaceae
Description: partial miscellaneous RNA
Rfam family: tRNA (bases 112-184)
Source: RNAcentral
UCUGGUUCGAGUCCAGGAUGGCCCACCUGAAUCAAUGCAAAAUUAAAAAUUCAAAAUUCAAAAUUAAGAAAUUGUUUUUGAAUUUUGCAUUUUGAAUUUUGAAUUGUGUUGGGGGGUUUAGCUCAGUUGGUAGAGCGCCUGCUUUGCAAGCAGGAUGUCAGCGGUUCGAGUCCGCUAACCUCCACCUUGAUAGCGUCAGGUAAAAACAUCAGGGAUUAGAUUCAGCAAUAUGGCAAGAAGCCAGACUGCUGGGUUAUUUAUCCAGCCAGAACCUUGAAAACUGCAA